This 687-nucleotide long non-coding RNA is filed under the name Homo sapiens (human). RNAcentral describes it as "HSALNT0268465". The record is from RNAcentral. Lineage: Eukaryota; Metazoa; Chordata; Mammalia; Primates; Hominidae.
ACAAGGAAAAAACCAUGCACGCACACAAGCAGGCUUAAAAGUGAGAAGCUCCUGCUCAGGCAGAAAGACUCACACUAGGGGACGAGUGUGGUGGCUCAUGCCUGUAACCCCAGCACUUUGGGAAGCCAAGGUGGGUGGAUCACUUGAGGUCAGGAGUUCGAGACCAGCCUGGCCAACAUGGUAAAACCCCGUCCGUCUCUACUAAAACGACAAAAAUUAGCCGGGCAAGGUGGCGUGUGCCUGUAAUCCCAGCUACUCAGGAGGCUGAGGCAGAAGAAUCACUUGAACCCACAAGGUGGAGGUUGCAGUGAGCCGAGAUCAUGCCACAGGACUCCAGCCUGGGUGACAGAGUGAGACUCCAUCUCAAAAAAAACAAAACAAAAAAAAAAACAUCUCACACUGGGAGUUGCAAGGCAAUGGCCGUCAAGGCCAAGCCAAAGCAGAGAAGUGGGUAGGGGCCAGUGCCACUGCUCACCAAGGCAGGGAGGAAAGAAUGGGCAGGCAACUGUGGGACUAGGCAGGGAAGGAUGGGGCUCCAGCCUGGGAAGGAGAAGCUGGACCAGGGAGUGGGCGAGGAGCGAUAGAGGUUGAGGGAUGAAGGGGAAUAUCAAGCUGGGGUCUGAGGCCAGGGGAGGGCACCGAGAGGGAGACAUGGAAGGAUGGAUGGGCCUGAGAAGGUUAGAAAGG